GACGAACGCUGGCGGCGUGCCUAACACAUGCAAGUCGAACGGAAAGGCCCUGCUCUUGUGCGGUUCUCGAGUGGCGAACGCGUGAGUAACACGUGAGUAACCUGCCCUUGACUUUGGGAUAACUUCACGAAACUGGGGCUAAUACCGCAUAGGAGCUCCUGCUGCAUGGUGGUGGUUGGAAAGUUUCGGCGGUUGGGGAUGUACUCGCGGCUUAUCAGCUUGUUGGUGGGGUAGUGGCUUACCAAGGAUUUGACGGGUAGCCGGCCUGAGAGGGUGACCGGCGACAUUGGGACUGAGGGACGGCCCAGACUGCUACGGGAGGCAGCAGUGGGGAGUAUUGCACAAUGGGCGGAAGCCAGAUGUAGCAACGCCGGGUGCGGGAUGACGGGUUUUGGGUUGUAAACCGCUUUCGCAUGUGACGAAGCGUGAGUGACGGUAAUGGGUAAAGAAGCACCGGCUAACUACGUG
Molecule: ribosomal RNA, 468 nt
Filed under: uncultured bacterium
Lineage: Bacteria
Description: partial 16S ribosomal RNA
Rfam family: Bacterial small subunit ribosomal RNA
Source: RNAcentral